RNAcentral lists this ribosomal RNA (253 nucleotides) under uncultured bacterium. Its description in RNAcentral is "partial 16S ribosomal RNA". It matches the Rfam family "Bacterial small subunit ribosomal RNA", at positions 524 to 776 of the family's 1533-position model. The record is from RNAcentral.
UACGUAGGGUGCGAGCGUUAAUCGGAAUUACUGGGCGUAAAGCGUGCGCAGGCGGCGCGUUAAGACAGGUGUGAAAGCCCCGAGCUUAACUUGGGAAUUGCGCGUGUGACUGGCGUGCUGGAGUGUGGCAGAGGGAGGUGGAAUUCCACGUGUAGCAGUGAAAUGCGUAGAGAUGUGGAGGAACACCGAUGGCGAAGGCAGCCUCCUGGGCCAGCACUGACGCUCAUGCACGAAAGCGUGGGGAGCAAACAGG